GAUGAACGCUGGCGGCGUGCCUAAUACAUGCAAGUCGAGCGAACGGACGAGAAGCUUGCUUCUCUGAUGUUAGCGGCGGACGGGUGAGUAACACGUGGAUAACCUACCUAUAAGACUGGGAUAACUUCGGGAAACCGGAGCUAAUACCGGAUAAUAUCUUGAACCGCAUGGUUCAAAAGUGAAAGACGGUCUUGCUGUCACUUAUAGAUGGAUCCGCGCUGCAUUAGCUAGUUGGUAAGGUCACGGCUUACCAAGGCAACGAUGCAUAGCCGACCUGAGAGGGUGAUAGGCCACCCUGGAACUGAGACACGGUCCAGACUCCUACGGGAGGCAGCAGUAGGGAAUCUUCCGCAAUGGGCGAAAGCCUGACGGAGCAACGCCACGUGAGUGAUGAAGGUCUUCGGAUCGUAAAACUCUGUUAUUAGGGAAGAACAUAUGUGUAAGUAACUGUGCACAUCUUGACGGUACCUAAUCAGAAAGCCACGGCUAACUACGUG
Molecule: ribosomal RNA, 497 nt
Filed under: uncultured bacterium
Lineage: Bacteria
Description: partial 16S ribosomal RNA
Rfam family: Bacterial small subunit ribosomal RNA
Source: RNAcentral